UUACCCACCUCACCAACUUAAGACACACAGAGGCUACUUUAAAAGGCUAACAUAGAAGGGUAAAGGAACUCUCUAUAAAACCCAGAGGGAAAAACUACACCUUCUCUUUGGAUCCUGUCUGGAGUCACAGAU
RNAcentral lists this small nucleolar RNA (132 nucleotides) under Mus pahari (shrew mouse). Its description in RNAcentral is "snoRNA (MGP_PahariEiJ_G0034668.1)". It matches the Rfam family "Small nucleolar RNA SNORA26". Rfam says of the family: The snoRNA HBI-6 belong to the H/ACA family of snoRNAs, guiding the pseudouridylation of position U4522 if the 28S rRNA. HBI-6 is the human orthologue of mouse MBI-6 snoRNA. The record is from RNAcentral. Lineage: Eukaryota; Metazoa; Chordata; Mammalia; Rodentia; Muridae.